Molecule: transfer RNA, 66 nt
Filed under: Camponotus atrox
Lineage: Eukaryota; Metazoa; Arthropoda; Insecta; Hymenoptera; Formicidae
Description: tRNA-Cys
Source: RNAcentral
UGUUUUAUAGUUUAAUUGAAAAAUAUUAAAUUGCAAAUUUAAAGAAAUUUAAUAAAAUUAAAACAU